This 230-nucleotide ribosomal RNA is filed under the name uncultured bacterium. RNAcentral's name for it is "partial 16S ribosomal RNA". It matches the Rfam family "Bacterial small subunit ribosomal RNA", at positions 109 to 339 of the family's 1533-position model. The record is from RNAcentral.
AGUAACACGUGAGAAACCUGCCCCGAAGUUUGGGAUAACCCAGGGAAACUUGGGCUAAUACCAGAUGCCCUCUUUGAGUCGCAUGGCUCGAUGAGGAAAGAUUUAUCGCUUUGGGAGGGUCUCGCGGCCUAUCAGCUAGUUGGUGAGGUAACGGCUCACCAAGGCUUCGACGGGUAGCUAGUCUGAGAGGACGAAUAGCCACACUGGGACUGAGACACGGCCCAGACUCC